GAUGGCAUAUAUGUUAAGAAGGUACAC
RNAcentral lists this non-coding RNA (27 nucleotides) under Rattus norvegicus (Norway rat). The record is from RNAcentral. Lineage: Eukaryota; Metazoa; Chordata; Mammalia; Rodentia; Muridae.